UGGGGAAUUUUCCGCAAUGGGCGAAAGCCUGACGGAGCAAUACCGCGUGAGGGAGGAUUGCCUUUGGGUUGUAAACCUCUUUUCUCAGGGAAGAAGAUCUGACGGUACCUGAGGAAUAAGUAUCGGCUAACUCCGUGCCAGCAGCCGCGGUAAUACGGAGGAUGCAAGCGUUAUCCGGAAUCAUUGGGCGUAAAGCGUCCGCAGGUGGUUUCCAAAGUCUGCUGUUAAAGACUGGAGCUCAACUCCGGAACGGCGGUGGAAACUUGGAAACUAGAGUUCGGUAGGGGUAGCAGGAAUUCCCAGUGUAGCGGUGAAAUGCGUAGAUAUUGGGAAGAACAUCGGUGGCGAAGGCGUGCUACUGGACCGUAACUGACACUCAGGGACGCAAGCUAGGGGAGCGAAAGGGAUUAGAUACCCCUGUAGUCCUAGCUGUAAACGAUGGAAACUAGGUGUGGCUUGA
RNAcentral lists this ribosomal RNA (460 nucleotides) under uncultured marine microorganism. Its description in RNAcentral is "bacterial SSU rRNA". It matches the Rfam family "Bacterial small subunit ribosomal RNA", at positions 355 to 830 of the family's 1533-position model. The record is from RNAcentral.